UACGUAGGGGGCAAGCGUUGUCCGGAGUUACUGGGCGUAAAGCGCCCGCAGGCGGUUGCUCAAGUCUCAGGUGCCAGCCUUGCGCUUAACGCAGGGAGUGCCUGAGAGACUGAGUGACUUGAGGACCAGAGAGGGACAUGGAACUCCGGGUGGAGUGGUGAAAUGCGUAGAGAUCCGGAAGAACACCAAAGGCGCAGGCAGUGUCCUGGCUGGUACCUGACGCUCAGGGGCGAAAGCGAGGGGAG
This 245-nucleotide ribosomal RNA is filed under the name uncultured bacterium. RNAcentral's name for it is "partial 16S ribosomal RNA". It matches the Rfam family "Bacterial small subunit ribosomal RNA", at positions 524 to 768 of the family's 1533-position model. The record is from RNAcentral.